AACGAGCGCAACCCUUAAGCUUAGUUGCCAUCAUUAAGUUGGGCACUCUAAGUUGACUGCCGGUGACAAACCGGAGGAAGGUGGGGAUGACGUCAAAUCAUCAUGCCCCUUAUGAUUUGGGCUACACACGUGCUACAAUGGACAAUACAAAGGGCAGCGAAACCGUGAGGUCAAGCAAAUCCCAUAAAGUUGUUCUCAGUUCGGAUUGUAGUCUGCAACUCGACUACAUGAAGCUGGAAUCGCUAGUAAUCGUAGAUCAGCAUGCUACGGUGAAUACGUUCCCGGGUCUUGUACACACCGCCCGUCACACCACGAGAGUUUGUAACACCCGAAGCCGGUGGAGUAACCUUUUAGGAGCUAGCCGUCGAAGGUGGGACAAAUGAUUGGGGUGAAGUCGUAACAAGGUAGCCGUAUCGGAAGGUGCGGCUGGAUCACCUCCUUUCUAAGGA
Molecule: ribosomal RNA, 449 nt
Filed under: Staphylococcus aureus
Lineage: Bacteria; Bacillati; Bacillota; Bacilli; Caryophanales; Staphylococcaceae
Description: bacterial SSU rRNA
Rfam family: Bacterial small subunit ribosomal RNA
Source: RNAcentral